RNA transcript from Phyllostomus hastatus (greater spear-nosed bat), 3036 nucleotides. It is a transcript of the gene named translation initiation factor IF-2-like, with no coding region annotated. The record is from RefSeq and is a predicted model, not a curated record. The transcript has 3 exons. Lineage: Eukaryota; Metazoa; Chordata; Mammalia; Chiroptera; Phyllostomidae.
AUGCGGAUCCCAGACAGAAAAGGCCCGGUCAGCUUUUCCGUUUCCUCCGGGGAGGGUGUCCCGGCCUGCAAGAGUGGCCCUGGAGGUCACUGCCCUGUGUCACACUCACUGCCGUCUCCUUUCACCGGGCGAACGUUCCCACGUCUCCCUGGAUGCGAGGGGAACAGGCAGGCACUCCUAAGAAGGCCGUUGCUACCUGCCCAGCUCCCGACGUGGAAAGAGCUGGAGGGAUGCUGCGGUUUCCCCCAAGGUGCAGCCUCGGGCUGGGCCAGGUGCGGCUGGGCGCCGGGCCCCGCUGGGGGCUCUCCCGUCCCCGCAGACAGACAGCGCCCGGGCGGCACGGUGGCAGAGCACCGGGGCGAGGACGCGUCAGACCCGGAGGGCGCGCCGGGAACCACGUUUCAGAGUCCCCCCGACACCUCACCACUGUGGCACAGCGUCAGACCACCCGAGAGGCCCACCGGCGAACGGACGAGCAGAGAGGAAGCUGCACGUGACGUGAGCUGGGCCCCGCCCCCCCCACCGAGGGCAGAGGCUGCCGACGGGGUGCAAAGGUCGGCCCUCCGCUGCCGGUCACCGCGCCGGCCCGAGGGCGGGGAGGCCUGGGGGAGGCGUCGGGAGGCCCAAGCACGCGUGAGCUGGGCUCCACGGGGGAGGACUUCGGGUGCCGGCGGGGGGUUUCCAGCGGAGCCCGUGACCAGGGUGGAGUCAGAACUGGAGCCGUGCCCUCGGAGAGCGGUGCAUGCGGAGGGCGACGCCGAUGUUUCCGAGUCUGAACCCCACGGGGCGGGGGGGCGGGGGGGGGGCUGGCCGCAGGGAUUCCUCUCGACCCCAGGGAACCGCCGCCAGCGCCGGUUGCGAGGAGGAUGGGCAGGAAGGAGGCACAGGUGUGUGCGUCCCCGGGUCUCCUGGGAGACCGACCCAGCCCGGGCGCCGUCCCCACCGUGAAAACACUAGCUGAUCAUCAGGACGUCGAGGCAAAACCGUCUCGGGUUCGUCUCUCUUCUGCCAUCGGGGUCACAGUGUCCUGGGCCGUGCCCAGGCACCAAGGGGACCCCGGCAGCUGUUCAGGCACCGCGCCUCGGGUCCCCGAGUCCGCCAAGGAGCCCGUGGCCCUGGCCCGACCUCUAGCCUCGAGAGCUCAAACGCUCCCCUUGCAUGCCUCCGUCACGGCCGCCGGCCAGGAGCCCGCGCCGCCAAGGCGACCCGCCCCUCACAGCAGCUCCCGCAUCUGUGUCCGUUCGUGUUUGUUCCCACGGCCGCCCGCUCCCACCUGAGAGUGGACCCCGCCCCUCCUCCGAAAAUUCCUCCUCCCGGCGGCACCGAGUCAUCCUGUGGCUCCGGUUGCUAAAACCCCUAAAACCCUGCAACCGCAGCGACCUCGGUCUGGCAAGGAAAGGCCCUGCACCCGACCGAGCGCCCACAGGCUAUAAAAACCCGGCCCGGCGGGGCUGCCUGUCCGACCUUAUCUGCCCACAGACCUGCGCAUUCCUCCCAGAUGCCCCUAAAGGCUGACUCAGGCCUAUUGUCUGUGCUUGCAAAGCUGGGCUCCGCCCGGAAAGUCCUGCCCGGCCGGUCCUUAGUCAUGCAGCCUGGCACUCCUCGGCCUCGGCCUCCGAGUGUAACUCUUGCCUCCCCAGCGGAUGCCCUGGCCCUGCACCCUGUGUCCGCGGUGUCCAGGAGCUUUUAUGGUUUAUUAGAUUUGUGUUCUUUUUAAAAUCCUUUGCUCUCUGACACUGUGGCGGAAAGCUCUGGAGUCCAGGCUGUGGUCCGUCGUUGGUCCCCCGAUCUUCACGUCCUGGAAGCUGGGGGGGCUGUGUGAUGGACGGCUUCCCGGAGGCACAGCUUGGGUCUCGGUGGGAAAUGCAGGCACGGGGAGUGCCCCGCUGCCGGCAGGAGCUGGCGAGGCAGUCCGGACGCGGCUGUUCGGCGUGAGGUGUGGCCGCACCCCCGCCCUCGGGAGCUUGUUGGGAAUGGAGGACCGCGGACACUGGCCUUGCCCGGAGACUGGACUCUGCAUUGCGCAAGUGGCUGUUCUCGGGAUCACACAGCGGGUGUGUGGCCGGGCGGGGGCCAGAGUGCCGUCCUCCUGACCCUCAGUCCCGUCCUUGUCGAGCUGUCCCCGCCGGCACAGGCCCUGGACGGCUCUGGGCCCGGGGACAGCGGCCGGGGCGGCCUGUGCGGACGGAGCAGGGCCGGGCGUCUGUGUCCAGGGGUGCAUGUGUUGCUGCCGCAGCCGGUGGGUUCUCCCCGGAACCAGCUUCAGGGAGUAACUGGGAUGCAGGCGACAGAUUUCAGGUAACCACGUUCACUGCAGACUCACUCACAUACAAUAGCGAUGACUAAACAAUCGCAAACGACCUGGAUGCCCAGCAGCCGGGGCUGGGGACCGAAGUUGCCAGACAUCCCAGCACAGCACCUUAUGCGGCUGUUAAAAGUUCUGUCUAAAAAGAGUUUUUAAGGCUAUGACAUAUUUGACAUACUAUUAAGCCAACAAAAAGAAAAAAAAAGAGGUAGACUAUAAAGUUACGUAAGUAUGAUCUCAACUGAGUCUUAAAAAAUGUGGAGACACGGGGACAUGGAAACCCGGGGGGUCCCCCUCCGAGCUUGUCCCUGGAGGGCGGCGGCCUUGUGGGGCCCGCCCUCCUCCUUCCAGCGUGAGGCUCAGUGACUCCACCAGUGUGCGCCGGGGCGCCCAGGUGACCGAGGGACGCGGUGGUGCCUCGGACCCUGGCUCGACGGAAGCGAAGCCGUGUUGGUCGGUUAGUAGCUGCAGCUCCUUUUAAAAUACUAACAGUUUGUGUGUGUGUGUCUCUCUCUCUCCAACAGCGAGGCAGAGUCGGGGCCGCAGCACGGCAGACCGCCGCACCCCGCCUGGGCGCCGCCGACCGAGACUGGUUUCCUCCCGGACGCAGCGCCUCUCCCCGCAAGCACGCGGGGGAGCCUGGACGCUCCGCACCCCUGCUCUUUCCCUUCUCAACGCUUUCUUUUUAAAAAGAUUCAAGCCUCUGGCUGGCGUAGCUCAGUGGACUGAGU